RNAcentral lists this microRNA precursor (105 nucleotides) under Marmota monax (woodchuck). Lineage: Eukaryota; Metazoa; Chordata; Mammalia; Rodentia; Sciuridae. The record is from RNAcentral.
AGAGGAAUAGCUGGGUCAAAUGGUGGUUCCACACCCAGUUUUCCAAGGAAUCUACAUACUGCUUUUCAAACUGGCUGCACAAACUGUUGCAGUCCCACCAGCAAU